Molecule: ribosomal RNA, 450 nt
Filed under: Grammomys sp.
Lineage: Eukaryota; Metazoa; Chordata; Mammalia; Rodentia; Muridae
Description: partial small subunit ribosomal RNA
Rfam family: Bacterial large subunit ribosomal RNA
Source: RNAcentral
CCAAAAUUAAACGGCCGCGGUAUCCUAACCGUGCAAAGGUAGCAUAAUAAUUUGUUCCCUAAUUAGGGACUAGUAUGAACGGCUAAACGAGGAUUCAACUGUCUCUUAUUCUUAAUCAGUGAAAUUGACCUUCCAGUGAAGAGGCCGGAAUAAAACAAUAAGACGAGAAGACCCUAUGGAGCUUUAAUUAAUUAACUUAAUUAUUAAACCCAAAUCCUAAUGGAAUAAAAAUAUAAAUAUAAGAUAACAAUUUCGGUUGGGGUGACCUCGGAGAACAAAAAAACCUCCGAAUGAUURUAGCAAAGACAAACAAGUCAAAGCAAAACAUAAAAUCUUAUUGACCCAAAACAUUUUGACCAACGGACCAAGUUACCCUAGGGAUAACAGCGCAAUCCUAUUUAAGAGUUCCUAUCGACAAUUAGGGUUUACGACCUCGAUGUUGGAUCAGGA